GUGGUUGCCUCAGCAGUACCUACACUAAAACUAGAACAAUACAGAGAAGAUUAGCAUGGUUCCUGUGUAAGGAUGAGACACAAAUUCAUUAAGUGUUGCAUACUUUU
This is a small nuclear RNA of Octodon degus (degu), 107 nucleotides long. Lineage: Eukaryota; Metazoa; Chordata; Mammalia; Rodentia; Octodontidae. The record is from Ensembl.